GACGAACGCUGGCGGCGUGCUUAACACAUGCAAGUCGAACGGAAAUGCUUUGCUUUUGUGGUUUGCUCGAGUGGCGAACGGGUGUGUAACACGUGAGUAACCUGACCUUGACUUUGGGAUAACUUCAGGAAACUGUGGCUAAUACCGGAUAGUAGCUCUUGCUGCAUGGUGGGGGUUGGAAAGUUUCGGCGGUGGCGGAUGGACUCGCGGCUUAUCAGCUUGUUGGUUGGGUAGUGGCUUACCAAGGCUUUGACGGAUAGCCGGCCUGAGAGGGUGACCGGCCACAUUGGUACUGAGAUACGGCCCAGACUGAUACGGGAGGCAGCAGUGAGGAAUAUUGCACAAUGGGCGGAAGCAAGAUGCAGCAACGCAGCGUGCGGGAUGAAGGCCUGCGGGUUGAUAACCGCUUUCGCCUAUGACGAAGCGUGAGUGACGGUAAUGAGUAAAUAAGCUCCGGCUAACUACGUG
This 468-nucleotide ribosomal RNA is filed under the name uncultured bacterium. RNAcentral's name for it is "partial 16S ribosomal RNA". It matches the Rfam family "Bacterial small subunit ribosomal RNA", at positions 28 to 507 of the family's 1533-position model. The record is from RNAcentral.